UCUGGAUACUCAAUUUCAUCGAGCGCAUUCAAAACGUCUUGAGGCAUAAGAAUUUUUCUGUUAUUAUUCGUAGCAAUUUCCCCAGAACUAAGUAACGUUAGUCUUUAUUCAUUCAUAUACAAAGUGUUUCCAGAAGAAAAUAAAAUUGGCAAUUAUAUAAUAAAUUCUUUCAUCAUACAAGCCCUUCAAUAUGGUUAUAUAGUUAUAUAGAUUACAUACGCGGAUGUUAGAAAACUAACAAAAAGAGUUGCUGAAUUGAUCAUAGCCUUGAGAGCUUCUUUUUGUACAAGACUCUUUUCAGGUAAGACACCUUUGACUAAUCGCAUAAUGAUCGAUCGAGGAAGCGCCAGAUCAUCCAAUUCGGAAGUUUCUUUCGAUUUAUCUUGAUUCAUAUUGAUUUUCCAGCCGCUAGAUCUUUUACAAACGCUGUAUACAAGUCUUUUAUAAAUCCAAUCCAAAUAUCAUCCUAUGGUCACCAAACGAUAAUCACAGAGAAAGGCGGUUGCUUCUUUUUAGCUAAUUAAUGUAUAAUAAAUUCACUGAGUCGCCUAUUUCUGUCAAUUUUCACUAAACACUAUCUGUGCGUUAUGAGCAGAAUCCGAGAGAGCCUUAGAGUUGAAACAUUUGUAGAAAUGCUAUCAAAUUUC
This is a non-coding RNA of Schizosaccharomyces pombe (fission yeast), 647 nucleotides long. The record is from the annotation of a GenBank genome assembly. Lineage: Eukaryota; Fungi; Ascomycota; Schizosaccharomycetes; Schizosaccharomycetales; Schizosaccharomycetaceae.